UCUAUUGUAUCUCUUUUUAUCUGUGCCAUCUACUACAAUUUUCUAUGGGAAUGUCCGUGUCUAUGUUCACUCGCAUACCUAUUUUAAUGUCAUAUAUUGUUAGGUCUUUGGAGAAGCUAAACUUACUCUAGCCCCGGCGCCAUUUUAAUUGCUUUUGGGUGCGGUUACACAUUAUUUCGUAUCCUGUUUAUUCAGUAGCACCACUGAUUUGUGUUUUUCUAAUCUUUUCUACAGAUUGCCCGAUAAAUGAAAACACAGUGUAUUUAUUUCAAUACUGUUAAAUAUCGACAAAUGGAUGUGUGCAUGCGAUUCUUCCUGCACUUCGUUUGCUGAUGUAUUCUUCACGUGAUAACAGUACAAUUGUGCUUGGUAAGAAGAAAUGGUUGCUACUGCUUAUGGAAGGACUUCAUAAUAAGUCGAUUGAUCAAUAAGAAAAACAUCAUGGAAUGACGUUAUGCAAUUCUUUCUGCACUUCGUUGGCCCUUGUCUUCUUAACAUUAUUAAGAACAUUAUCAAAACUUCAGACUACGUAGUUGGACAUUAAUUGCAAUGGUCAUUUCAUUUUACUCCAAACGUUCUGAUGUCUGUCCACAGAAAACCAUCUGAAAACAAAACAGUGUUUACAAGUAUGUUGUUUUUAUUGGGCCUGAUUCUUGAUUGGUUGUUAAUGUCUUCACCUUGCAAUAUUAUUCAGUUAAUUUUCAAUUGGAAAUGUAUGGACCACUGAAAUAAAUUCAUAAUAUGGUGUAAAUAUUAGAAUGUUACAUUCUACAGACAAUUAAGGAACAUCAUAAAAAUUCCAGAUGACAUGUGUUACAGAAUAGGUAUGCAUCAUAUCAGUCCUUUUUGCAGUUUGUUGCUGUUACUAAAAGAAGGAUUAACGACGUAGAACUGGUUGGUCAUCACUCAUAACCAUCGUCAGUGUAAGUCGUCAGUCCUAAGAUGGUUGGAUAUGUCCCUCCACUUUUUCCUAAUGAGAAAGAAUUGAAGUUAACUUUGAUGAUACUGAUACAACCAGUGUCUACAAAGGUGUUCUUCUUCUUGGACUUGAUUCAAGAUUGACAUGUUCACCUUGCAACAUUAUCCAGUCAAUUUUCAAUUGGUAAUUGGAAAUUUAUUUGGACUCCACUGAAACAAAUUCUCUGUGAUGGCAUACAUUCUACAGUUAGUUAAGAUCGACGGUGGAGAAGACAAAGAAGAUCCCGUAGUUAAA
This is a long non-coding RNA of Agrilus planipennis (emerald ash borer), 1213 nucleotides long. RefSeq lists it as uncharacterized. Lineage: Eukaryota; Metazoa; Arthropoda; Insecta; Coleoptera; Buprestidae. The record is from RefSeq and is a predicted model, not a curated record. The transcript is spliced from 6 exons.